This 691-nucleotide ribosomal RNA is filed under the name alpha proteobacterium SCGC AAA163-M21. RNAcentral's name for it is "bacterial SSU rRNA". It matches the Rfam family "Bacterial small subunit ribosomal RNA", at positions 97 to 822 of the family's 1533-position model. Lineage: Bacteria; Pseudomonadati; Pseudomonadota; Alphaproteobacteria. The record is from RNAcentral.
GGCAGACGGGUGAGUAACAUGUGGGUAUCUACCCUUUGGCCUGGAAUAACACGAGGAAACUUGUGCUAAUACCGGAUAAGUCUUUACGGAGAAAGCUUUAUGCACCAUUGGAUGAGCCCGCACUUGAUUAGUUUGUUGGUAGGGUAAUGGCCUACCAAGACUAUGAUCAAUAGCUGAUUUGAGAGGAUGAUCAGCCACAUUGGGACUGAGACACGGCCCAAACUCCUACGGGAGGCAGCAGUGGGGAAUCUUGCACAAUGGAGGAAACUCUGAUGCAGCGAUGCCGCGUGAGUGAAGAAGGCCUUUGGGUUGUAAAGCUCUUUCGUCGGGGAAGAAAAUGACUGUACCCGAAUAAGAAGGUCCGGCUAACUUCGUGCCAGCAGCCGCGGUAAUACGAAGGGACCUAGCGUAGUUCGGAAUUACUGGGCUUAAAGAGUUCGUAGGUGGUUGAAAAAGUUGGUGGUGAAAUCCCAGAGCUUAACUCUGGAACUGCCAUCAAAACUUUUCAGCUAGAGUAUGAUAGAGGAAAGCAGAAUUUCUAGUGUAGAGGUGAAAUUCGUAGAUAUUAGAAAGAAUACCAAUUGCGAAGGCAGCUUUCUGGAUCAUUACUGACACUGAGGAACGAAAGCAUGGGUAGCGAAGAGGAUUAGAUACCCUCGUAGUCCAUGCCGUAAACGAUGUGUGUUAGACG